UGGCUCAGUUGGUAGAGCAUGGUGUUUGCAACGCCAAGGUUGUGGGUUCCAUUCCCAC
Molecule: non-coding RNA, 58 nt
Organism: Salmo salar (Atlantic salmon)
Lineage: Eukaryota; Metazoa; Chordata; Actinopteri; Salmoniformes; Salmonidae
Source: Rfam